Molecule: long non-coding RNA, 1418 nt
Filed under: Macaca mulatta (Rhesus monkey)
Lineage: Eukaryota; Metazoa; Chordata; Mammalia; Primates; Cercopithecidae
Description: lncRNA (ENSMMUG00000059517.1)
Source: RNAcentral
AUUUUGCUGCAAAUCUAAAAUUUGUUUACAAAAUCAAAUCAGGAAUGGCAAUAUAAACCAAAAUAAAACAAAACAGUUAUAUUAAUGAGCUUUUGUACUUCAUACACUCUGUAAUUUAUAAACAGGAGAGUGAUUCAUAUGACUUACAAUAUGAAAACAGUAAAGCCAUUCCUCACCAAAGCUUCUUAACCAAUGCUUCUAAAAGACAAGAAAUUUGGCAGAAAGGCUCAUGCUACAGUCUUCAUGGAACCGAGCUGGAAGCCAGGAGCAGGAGGCAAAUGGGAAGACUGUGGUUCCCUGCAGGUGGGUACCACAGGCACAGCCGCCCUCAGGUGUGUCUGAGCCCUGAUUGAAACCAAAUGCCUUUAUUGAGGCAGAAAGUUGAAGAGUCCUGAGGCUGUUUCCAGACAGUAGGUGCCGCUGGAGACAGGCAGAAGGAGCAAACCUGUCUGGAGGAAAGCUCACCAAAUUUAGGGCUGCAGGACUCCUACAGAGGAAGAUCAUAUAGUCAGCUGCUCACAUACCCAUUUAUCAUAUGAUUUGCUGAUCAUUCUUUCUGGUAACACAGAAUUUUAAUCUCAGAUUGUUUUUCUUCUUUUUGACAUGUAUCCUAAAGGAUUACCCUUGUGCUGAGCAUUUUGGUGACGUUUUUAUUCAUAAUUUUUCUUGAAAGGUACUACUAUAUCUAGGAAUCUAAAGGUAUAUUGUUAAUAACUUUUUUCUCAACAAUUUGAAGAUUUUUCUUCUGCCCUCUAUUGCUGCAACUGAGAAUUCUAUUAUUGUCUAAUUGUCAUUCUUCCCCCCCCCUUUCUUCUGACUGCAUAAAAGAUUUUCAUUUUCUUUCUACCUUUCUGUUCUAUAUUUAUACUCUAAGAUGUUUGGGCUCAGAUUGAUUUUUCUUAGUGCUUCUAGUGAUACCUAACAAAUCCUGUACCUGUGUAUUUAUAUCUUAUUUAUGAAAAAUUUGUAGCAAUUUUCUUUCAAAUAUUAUGUACCCAUUUUGUUUCCCCCUCUAUGAUUCUAUGACACCUGUUAAACUUAUAUUCUCUCAUGUAGCUCUUACCAUCUCUUUCAUAUAAAUUUUUCCAUCUUCCUGUGCGGUAUGUCGAAUUACUGCUUUAUGCUUUAGGAUGAUUAAAUUCCCCCAUUGUGUUGAUACCUGGAAUUGCUUUUUAGAGUAUAAAUUUCAAGGAUAGCAUAUACACAGUUGAUGUGUCUGAUGUUUGCAUCUUGAAGAUUAUAGAAAUAUUCUGAAAAGAUAUUAAUUAAUCCAGAAAAACCUCAGAAUUAAUCAUGGAGGACCAGAGAUAUAUUGCCAAGAUGAUUAGAGGGUCAUGUCUCUUAACUUCAUUUGAAAUACAUUAGUUCCCUUAGGCUGAUGAGUUGUUCAUUAUGCCAUCUCUACUCCUCCAUGCCUG